This 447-nucleotide ribosomal RNA is filed under the name uncultured bacterium. RNAcentral's name for it is "partial 16S ribosomal RNA". It matches the Rfam family "Bacterial small subunit ribosomal RNA", at positions 29 to 523 of the family's 1533-position model. The record is from RNAcentral.
AACGAACGCUGGCGGCAGGCUUAACACAUGCAAGUCGAGCGCCCCGAAAGGGGAGCGGCAGACGGGUGAGUAACGCGUGGGAAUGUGCCCUUUGGUCUGGAAUAACUCAGGGAAACUUGAGCUAAUACCGGAUAAGCCCUUCGGGGGAAAGAUUUAUUGCCAUUGGAGCAGCCCGCGUCAGAUUAGCUGGUUGGUGAGGUAAAAGCUCACCAAGGCGAUGAUCUGUAGCCGGUCUGAGAGGACGACCAGCCACACUGGGACUGAGACACGGCCCAGACUCCUACGGGAGGCAGCAGUGGGGAAUAUUGGACAAUGGGGGCAACCCUGAUCCAGCCAUGCCGCGUGAGUGAUGAAGGCCUUAGGGUUGUAAAGCUCUUUUACUCGGGAAGAUAAUGACUUUACCGAGAGAAUAAGCCCCGGCUAAAUUCGUGCCAGCCGCCGCAGUAA